ACACACACCUGUGAGGGAAUGACAGCGUGUGGAGCGACCAUGCUGUUGGAUUGAAUUCACCUGUCCAGAGAGGCCUUCUGGCCUGCCCUCCCAGGACAGUGAGUUCCAGAGGGAGAGCAAAUGCAGCGUGGAAAAGGAACGCUAACGGGCAUCGCCAGCAUUUCGUGAGUGGUUACUGCAGCUGGCCUGGAGCUCCUCGGUUUGCACAUGUUAGUCAUCUCAGUGAAUCCCUGUCACACCUCAGGAGAGAGCCACCAUUGGUUAUCUCCACUCUAUCUGUGAAGAAGGAGUCUGCCCGAGAUCACCCCCACCACCAGUGCGCCGGGGCAUCUGUCUGCGGCACAGCACAGCAUCCCUCUCCUGCCCUCCAGAUGUCCUUGACUCCCACCUUCAAAAGCAAGUUGACAUCCUCAUUCAAGAGCAAGGGCCAGCUUGGGUCCAUAUUCCUUCUGGAAACUUCCACAGAUGACCCAGCUUGCAUGGCCGCACUUCUCUGAAUGUCAUACACCUGUCUACUCCAGAGGAGGCAACUCUAAUGGGACCUAUGACAUCCAUCAUCAUGGACAGUUGUUAACCACUGAAUUAUUAUUUAACUCCUUGUCUCUGUGACGCUUUUUUCUCCACCCAGGCUGUUUCUUGGGGAGACUGUGUAUUAUGAGUCUUUGUUUUCCUGUAGCCCCCAGCACAUGUCUCUCUCCAUAUGUGAGACAAUCAAUGUUACUUGAAUAAAUGAAUAAGAGAAUGAAUGAUGAACAGCUGGUUCUUCCAGAAAAUAUGACAUAUAAACCUUGGGAAAAUGCCCUGAAAGGUUAACUGUAUAGGCUCAAGAGUUGCAUACUUCUGGGCUCAAUUUCAGCUCUGCCACUUGCCAGCCGUGUGCCCUGGGCAACAUCAGUCACCUCAUGUGUAAAACAUGGAUACUAAUAUAAUACCCAGCUCAGACGAUUGUCGUAUGACAUGAAAUAAUAUAUGUAAAUCCUUUAACCCAGUUCCUCGCCUACAGGCACAUUCACAUACAUGGUGGCUGUCAUUGUCACCAAAUGUCUGAAUCACGCUUUAUUAUUUCUCAAGAGCUCCUGGACACGAUCUCAUGCUGUCACUGACAGAUGUUUACUGAACGCUAGAAUGUGCAGGCACCAAGCACAGCACAGGUGCACAGGGUGGACA
Molecule: long non-coding RNA, 1167 nt
Filed under: Equus asinus (donkey)
Lineage: Eukaryota; Metazoa; Chordata; Mammalia; Perissodactyla; Equidae
Description: lncRNA (ENSEASG00005029894.1)
Source: RNAcentral